RNAcentral lists this transfer RNA (93 nucleotides) under Phreatobacter aquaticus. Its description in RNAcentral is "Phreatobacter sp. NMCR1094 tRNA-Ser". It matches the Rfam family "tRNA". Rfam says of the family: Transfer RNA (tRNA) molecules are approximately 80 nucleotides in length. Lineage: Bacteria; Pseudomonadati; Pseudomonadota; Alphaproteobacteria; Hyphomicrobiales; Phreatobacteraceae. The record is from RNAcentral.
GGAGAUGUGGCCGAGAGGCUGAAGGCGCCCGUUUGCUAAACGGGUGUACGCUCAAAAGGCGUACCGAGGGUUCGAAUCCCUCCGUCUCCGCCA